GACGAACGCUGGCGGCGUGCUUAACACAUGCAAGUCGAACGGUGAAGCGCCUUCCUUUUUGGUGGGUGUGGAUGAGUGGCGAACGGGUGAGUAACACGUGAGUAACCUGCCCCCUUCUUCUGGAUAACCGCAUGAAAGUGUGGCUAAUACGGGAUAUUCUGGGUCUGUCGCAUGAUGGGUCUGGGAAAGAUAUUGUUUCGGUGGGGGAUGGGCUCGCGGCCUAUCAGCUUGUUGGGGGGGUGAUGGCCUACCAAGGCGGUGACGGGUAGCCGGCCUGAGAGGGUGGACGGUCACACUGGGACUGAGACACGGCCCAGCCUCCUACGGGAGGCAGAAGUGGGGAAUAUUGCACAAUGGGCGCAAGCCUGAUGCAGCGACGCCGCGUGAGGGAUGGAGGCCUUCGGGUUGUGAACCUCUUUCGCUAGUGAAGCAGGCCUGCCUCGUUUGUGGGUGGGUUGACGGUAGCUGGAGAAGAAGCGCCGGCUAACUACGUG
This 494-nucleotide ribosomal RNA is filed under the name uncultured bacterium. RNAcentral's name for it is "partial 16S ribosomal RNA". It matches the Rfam family "Bacterial small subunit ribosomal RNA", at positions 28 to 507 of the family's 1533-position model. The record is from RNAcentral.